GCUGGGCCCUGAAUAGCACAGAGCUCUGGUGGUGAGGGAGAGUAACUUGUCUUGGCAGGAUGGGGAGAGAGAAUGACGCACAUCACAGCGAGUGGAAAUCUGAGAAACGACGGAAGACCCAUCCUGCAGGCUGGGGUGGCCAAGGUGAACCAGCAAAGGUGACUUGCCACAUGGGUCCAAGAGGCUGGCAUGGCUCCACGUUGGACACCAAAGACUUCGGUUGAGAAACCAUCCCACCCUGCCUCUGCACCCAAGGGCUCUGGGCGGGGUCAGCCAUGUGACCUGGGUCUAAGCCAAUCAGAGCAUCUCACAGCAUCACCACAGUGACUGAGCGCUGGACCCCGUGGGACUCUCUCCUGCUGCUCGUGAACCUGAGAGAACAUGAGGCUGGAGCUGUUGCAGAUCCUGAGGGGAGGGACUGCCUGCGAGGGUGCCAACUUAGGGGACACUGAGUCAACAACUGGACAAGGAGCAACCAGCUUCUGUUGGCAUCACGUGACCCCAUGCGGAAAGCCUGCCUGAAACUGGCCCCGUCUCUAGACUUCUCCA
RNAcentral lists this long non-coding RNA (549 nucleotides) under Equus caballus (horse). RNAcentral's name for it is "lncRNA (ENSECAG00000035906.3)". Lineage: Eukaryota; Metazoa; Chordata; Mammalia; Perissodactyla; Equidae. The record is from RNAcentral.